This 60-nucleotide small RNA is filed under the name Mycobacteroides abscessus subsp. abscessus. RNAcentral describes it as "Mycobacterium sRNA Ms_IGR-8". It matches the Rfam family "Mycobacterium sRNA Ms_IGR-8". The record is from RNAcentral. Lineage: Bacteria; Bacillati; Actinomycetota; Actinomycetes; Mycobacteriales; Mycobacteriaceae.
CUCAAAUACGGCGAGCGUGAAGCCAGUGCGGAAAAUCGGUGGGAAUCCCGCAAUGGCUUC